This 305-nucleotide ribosomal RNA is filed under the name uncultured bacterium. Its description in RNAcentral is "bacterial SSU rRNA". It matches the Rfam family "Bacterial small subunit ribosomal RNA", at positions 334 to 631 of the family's 1533-position model. The record is from RNAcentral.
GUUUCCUACGGGAGGCAGCAGUGGGGAAGAUUGCGCAAUGGGAGAAAGCCUGACGCAGCGACGCCGCGUGAGGGAUGAAGGUCUUCGGAUCGUAAACCUCUGUCAGCAGGGAAGAACGGUCACUGUGCUAAUCAGCAGUGAAUUGACGGUACCGGCAAAGGAAGCAACGGAUAACUCCGUGCCAGCAGCAGCGGUAAUACGGAGGGUGCGAGCGUUAAUAGGAAUUACUGGGCGUAAAGCGCUCGUAGGAGGUAUGUCAAGUCAAGGGUGAAAUCACCGCGCUCAACGUGAGAACUGCCUUUGAA